This 710-nucleotide ribosomal RNA is filed under the name Phytophthora cryptogea. Its description in RNAcentral is "eukaryotic LSU rRNA". It matches the Rfam family "Eukaryotic large subunit ribosomal RNA", at positions 81 to 629 of the family's 3401-position model. Lineage: Eukaryota; Oomycota; Peronosporomycetes; Peronosporales; Peronosporaceae. The record is from RNAcentral.
UAGUACGGCGAGUGAGCGGGAAGAGCUCAAGCUUAAAAUCUCCGUGCAAGUUUUGCGCGGCGAAUUGUAGUCUAUAGAGGCGUGGUCAGUGAGGGCGCUCGGGGCAAGUUCCUUGGAAGAGGACAGCAUGGAGGGUGAUACUCCCGUUCAUCCCUGGGUGGCUCUUGCGUACGACCCGUUUUCUUUGAGUCGCGUUGUUUGGGAAUGCAGCGCAAAGUAGGUGGUAAAUUCCAUCUAAAGCUAAAUAUUGGUGCGAGACCGAUAGCGAACAAGUACCGUGAGGGAAAGAUGAAAAGAACUUUGAAAAGAGAGUUAAAGAGUACCUGAAACUGCUGAAAGGGAACCGAAUCGUUUCCAGUGUCUAUAAUCCGUGGCAUAUUUCAUUGGCGAGUGUGUGCGUGCGUGUGCUUUGGCAGUGGCUUUUUUGGCUGCGCUGGGCGUGUGUGCUGUGUGUGCUUGCUGGUGCCCUGUGCUGCGGUGGGACGUCAAGGUCAGUUCGUAUGCUGCGGGAAAUGGCUGCCGAGGAGGUAGGGCUUACGCUCCGCGUUUGUCUGUUAUAUCUUGGUGGACGAGUCGUCGCGGUUGGGACUGAGGUGCCUACAACGUGCUUUUGAGUGAGUAUGGGUCUCCGUGUGCGCCGUGUGCGGAUAGCUUGCUAUGCGUGUGUGGUUGUGUGUGGAUUGAUGCGUGCUGUAACUUGUCGCCGCUUC